RNA transcript from Pezoporus occidentalis (night parrot), 5925 nucleotides. It is a transcript of the gene named splicing factor proline and glutamine rich, with no coding region annotated. The record is from RefSeq and is a predicted model, not a curated record. NCBI's taxonomy places the organism in Eukaryota, Metazoa, Chordata, Aves, Psittaciformes, Psittacidae. The transcript is spliced from 12 exons.
UAUGAGGGGCGGACAAAGGCGGCGGCGAGGGCCUGCCGUUCGCCGCCAUUUUGCGCAGCGGGCUCUGAGGAGCGGCAGCCGCAUCCGGAGCGCUUCUUCUUCUUCUCUCUCCGCCAUCACCAUGUCGCGGGAUCGGUUCCGUAGCCGUGGCGGCGGUGGAGGCGGCUUCCACCGGCGCGGCGGAGGCGGUGGCCGCGGAGGCCCCAAUCACGAUUUCCGCUCUCCGCCGCCCGGCAUGGGCAUGGGCCAGAACCGGGGCCCUAUGGGAGGCGGCCCGCAGGGCCCGGGCGGCCCGCCGGGCGGAGGCCCGAAGCCCGAGCCUCCGAAGCCGCCCGCGUCGACCUCUGCUCCGCCUUCCUCGUCUUCUUCGUCAGCCGCCACCACAGCGGGGCCCGCCGGCAGCCAGGCCGGCCCCGGAGCGCCUCCGUCGUCCGCGCUGCCCUCGGGGCAGACGCCGCAGCAGCAGCCCCCGGUGUCGACACCUUCCUCGACUCCUGGCCCGGGUGGGCAGGCGCAGCCCAAGCCGAGCCCCAGCCCUACCCCGGCCGGCGGCCCUAAGAAAGGACAAGGACAGUCGCCCGGCGGCGGGCCCAAGGGACCGGGUGGCCCCCAGCAGGGGCCCGGCGGGCCGCACAAGGGCGGGCCGGGGCACCGCGGCGGACCGGGCGGAGAGCAGCGCGGGCGCGGACAGCAGCACCAGGGACAGCAGAGCCUUUCCUCACAGCAGGGUCCGGCCGGCGGCGGCGAAAAGCUCUCGGACGAGGGAUUUAAAGCAAACCUCUCUCUGCUGAGGCGACCCGGGGAGAAGACCUAUACUCAGCGUUGCCGCUUGUUUGUGGGGAAUUUGCCUGCUGAUAUAACAGACGAAGACUUUAAAAGACUGUUUGCUAAAUAUGGGGAGCCAGGAGAGGUUUUUAUCAACAAGGGGAAAGGCUUUGGAUUCAUUAAAUUGGAAUCCAGAGCUCUUGCAGAAAUUGCGAAGGCAGAACUGGAUGAUACCCCCAUGCGGGGUCGUCAGCUUCGUGUUCGGUUUGCCACCCAUGCCGCCGCUCUCUCAGUGCGUAAUCUUUCACCCUAUGUGUCCAACGAGUUGCUGGAGGAAGCGUUUUCCCAGUUCGGUCCAGUGGAAAGAGCGGUUGUGAUUGUAGAUGAUCGAGGUAGAUCAACAGGAAAAGGCAUUGUUGAGUUUGCGUCAAAGCCAGCGGCAAGGAAAGCCUUUGAACGGUGUACCGAAGGAGUGUUUUUGUUGACAACCACUCCUAGGCCAGUUAUUGUGGAACCGUUGGAACAGCUGGAUGAUGAAGAUGGUCUUCCAGAAAAGCUUGCUCAGAAGAAUCCAAUGUAUCAAAAGGAAAGAGAGACUCCUCCCCGCUUUGCUCAGCCUGGCAGUUUUGAAUUUGAAUAUUCCCAGAGGUGGAAAUCUUUAGAUGAAAUGGAAAAACAACAGAGAGAGCAAGUAGCAAAAAACAUGAAAGAUGCCAAGGACAAACUUGAAAGUGAGAUGGAAGAUGCUUAUCAUGAGCAUCAGGCAAACCUCUUGCGUCAAGACCUCAUGAGGCGUCAGGAAGAGUUGAGACGUAUGGAAGAGCUCCAUAACCAAGAAAUGCAGAAACGCAAGGAAAUUCAGCUCAGGCAGGAGGAGGAGCGUCGCAGGCGAGAGGAGGAGAUGAUGAUACGUCAGCGGGAGAUGGAGGAGCAAAUGAGAAGACAGAGAGAAGAGAAUUACAGUAGAAUGGGUUACAUGGAUCCAAGGGAGAGAGACAUGAGGAUGGGUGGUGCCACCACAAUGAACAUGGGAGAUCCUUAUGCUUCUGCAGCCCAGAAAUUCCCACCUCUCGGAGGUGGUGGCGGCAUAGGUUAUGAAGCUAAUCCAGGAGUUGGCCAAGCAGCCAUGAGUGGUUCUAUGAUGGGAAGUGACAUGCGUCCUGAGCGCUUUGGGCAGGGAGGUGCGGGGCCUGUGGGUGGCCAGGGUCCUAGAGGAAUGGGGCCUGGAACACCAACAGGAUAUGGUAGAGGGAGAGAAGAAUAUGAAGGCCCAAACAAAAAGCCCCGAUUUUAGAUGUGACCUGUAGUUUCAUUCCAGUUUGUUUUUUGUCUGUCUUGUUUAGACACCAACUUUUUAAUUCUUGCAUUUUAGUAAGAAAGCUACGUUUUUAUGGAUGUUAGAAAACUUACUGACCUAAUAUUUGUAAGUGGUCUGUUUGGGCGAGUACAAUUUAAUUAUGUAAUGCAGUGUUUCAAAACAAACUUAGCUGUUUUUUUUGAUGUAUAACGUCCCUAACUUGAUGGCAGUGUACCUUGUGCCACUGAAUUCCCAAAGUGUACCAACUUUUUUUUACUGUGCUUCAAAUAAAUAGAAAACUAAAUGUAGUAGCUCUUCUUGCCAUUCGUGGUUAAACAUAACGAGGCUAAAAACCACACCUUCCGCAGUAAACUGAGAGUCUUGAGCAGAGGUCAAACUAGACCAGGGUGUGGAACUGCAGGGAAGAGUGAGAUCUCUUCCCAAAAUGCCUCCUCUCUCUUAAGAUUGGGUCAAAUAGUAGCCUAACUUUGCAGUAGGUGCAGAUCUUUUUUUGAGCAUUAAUUGUGCUGCAAUAAGGAAGCAAAUGGAAAUCUUGCAAGUGCUGCAAGAUGCUUUAAAUCAAGCUACACUGCAAGCAGUGCAGUAUGUAAUGAUGUUCCUAUUUUAGCUCUGGAUAAUGGGUGGUGGGAUGGUAGCACUUAACCACCUUGGCAGUUACUGCUUGGAAUCUUUUAAAGACUUUAAGCAGAAGACUAGCAAUGGUUAUUUUAAACUAAAUUGAUAGAAUGACUUGUAUUGGCUGACUUCCUAACUAAAGGAUUGUUAAUGUGAUAUUUAUAUGCUCUUAAGCUGUUUUGAGAUUACAGGAUCUGGCCUUGCUUCGUAUUGUAUACUUAACCUGAAACUGCUUGGCAAAAAGACCAGAAGUGUUACUGUAGUGAUGAAGGUUAACUUGCUUAUGUCCUCAUGGUAACUGAGUAUAGACUACUUUGCCUAGUUCAGAAUACAAUCAUUUAUUUUAUGGGGACUGCAGGAACUAUUCUUAAAUCGUGUAGCUGGUGGGCAAAUCCUUAAAACCUGUAUGUAAAAUACAGAAAUCAGCUUGCUUGCAUGAUGGUUAUUGCUCUUAUUAUUGAUGUUUGGAGAUAAUGCAUCAAAAGUAGUAUCUGAAUCUGGAGUUUAAGAGUUAAUACUUCACAGUACGAAUAAACUCCCUCUAAGGUUUUUUUGUAGAAGAUCUGAUGAAUUCAUUAGCUUGCUGUUCGUUUUAUUAAGCCCCAGAAGAAUUUCAGAGCAUUCUGGACUCAUUGAUAAGGUAGUUUUUUUGGUUAUUAUUACAUUGUACCAGCUAAGCUGGGAACCUGACUUCCCAGUGUAAAAGACCUUGGUGUUAAGCAGGUUGACGCAUCCUGCAUUGGCACAAAGUAGGUAAACUUAGUUUGGCUGUACCUUCACAUGAUUCCCCAACUACUGAGCAUUCUGUGAGUAGCUUUAAUUCCUUCCCAAGAUCUUUCCCAUUCCUUGUGCUGAGCAUUGGCUAAUUCUAAAUUCUAUACUAAAUUUUCUCUGUGGUUAAAACUUGGUUUCAGAUUGCAGUAUUUUAGAGUGCAGGUGAUCCCUCUUGAAGUACUUGCUGCAAGUGCUAUUACUGCUUAACUGAAAAAAUAGCCUGUUGGUAAAUGUUGAUACCAGGUAACACCGACUUGAAAUAUCAAGUGCAUUAAAGAGUGACUCAGCUUGUUUGGUGAAUGCUGCUUCUUUUCCCAGAAAAGUUUGGGGGUUGUUAACAACGAAUUGCUCUUCAGGAAAUUCCCAAUUGGCAGUUCCUAAAUGGCAUAGCAGGUAUUUGGGAGUACUUGUACUGGAUACUUAGUUUAAAAAUCAGCAGUACCGAUGCAAUUUGCUUUAUUGAAGUAGUAUUAACCAAUGCCUAUGUGUUGUGGAGGGUGUUCGUGGGACACCCACAGAAGGUGAAGGUGUCUGAGAUGGGGAAUUCUGAACAUAAACAUUAAAUUAAUUUUUUCAGUUUAUUUUUCAGAUUACAUGUCUUUCUUUAUUAAAGAGAUGCCGGUGCAUAUCCUAAAGUAUGUUCUUUUGUAGUUCUGUAACUUGGAAGAGUGAAGGAUGCUGAUGUCCUUGUACCUUACAGAGGUUGUCUUUUGGUACCCCUGUAUUAUACGUAAGCUCCCGUUGCUAGGUAUUAAAAUUAGCUGAGUUGCAAAACUCAUGAUGAGUAACUACUGAAAGAUUUGGCAGUUUUCAAAACAUCUGAAAGUUGGGUUAAAUCUAGCUUUGUUGGAGCUGCAGAAGCAGAACUUCUAAAACAAGUUCUGCUUUGAGUUGCAUGUAUUAAAAAGGCAUACAAUUAACUAGCCAACUUCUUUUUCAAGCCUUUUUUUUUAAGGUGGUGUCUUAAAAGCUGGCAAACAUGUCAACUUUAAAUCUGCUAAAUGUGGGAGGUGAGAAAGUUAUGUUCCUUUGAUCUGUUCCUCUGAGGUUUUGGACUUUUUUCAUAAAACCAGAUUUAUAUAAUUGAAUCUUUAAAACCGUUUAGAAAAGUGCUUUGUUGGCCAGAUCUGGUUUUGGACAGUCUGGAUCACGUCACACAUUUUUGUACUGGACUUGGAGGACAUUGGCUGUUGCAAUUUAGCUUGCUUAAUCAAAUUUGUUGAGCCCAUUUUGACACUUAGAUCUCUAAAAACUGCAGCAUGUAGAAAGUGGUAUCGUUAUACAGAGAUCUUCACACUUUGAUCAGAAAUGAAUGCAGAGUAAUCUUUUAUCUUCUGGUGUAGACACAUGACACUAAUCAUUUAUACAGCUGAUGAGAAACUGCAACUGCUUUUCAGAUUUUGUGGUAUUUUUGUGGUAGAGAAAUUCUUGGCUUCUCCUUGGCAACCAUUUACUGUGGCAGCAAGUUUUUGCUGGAGUUUUGAGACUGCAAUUUACACUUAUAACUAGUGGCCUGCUACAUAACUGCACUUAGCCAGCAUUUCUGCAGUUCAUAACUGUGAGGAACGUAGUACCACAAAUGGCAAUGGACAUUAGGACCCGGAUGUAGUAUUCCUGCUUGCUCCAAGAUUCUCAUUGCCGACUGCGUACAGGUGAAGAUGAAAGCUGAGUGAAACCGGUGUGCUCAUCCAUGGGAAGUAAGCAUAACUUCUGGUCUUGUUCUGAGCGGGUGAAGUAAUGAAGGCUUCUGGGCAUUGACCUUCACCUUUGAAUCGGUGAAUAUUGAGAAAUGGGAGCCGAGCGUGAGCACAUCCAGCAUGAUGCCCAGUGGUACGUGGAGGGACCAAGAGAUCAAGAGAAGUAAGUAGUUAGUGUCUUUCUACUGCUGUGGGAGCUCAGUGGCCCAGCACCCUGGGAGGUAUUACAUAGUUCCUGCCUGGAAUUUGCCCUUGAUUAAUCUUCAUUUUAUAUAAAACUUCUGAAUCUUUCUUUUGUAGACCAAGGAUAUAACCAUUGUUCAGGGCUUUUCAGCCAUGCAGCAUCAAAUAAACUGUCCUGAAUGCUGUUGGUGGUCAAACAACUACUUCUGUAUUCUGGCUUCAGUGAACUGGGUGGGUGAUUGUCAGCAAGGAAAAAGGAGCAAUAGAGCAGCUUCCUCGUGUUAAUCCAACUAGAAGCUGGUAAAAAGCAACUUUAAUAUUUCAGUGAACAUUGAACUUUCUAAAUAACCUGGAAUGUAAACUUGGCACUUUCAAGAGCAUAGGCAGAUGGUGAUUUAGGGAAAUAAACGAACUUGGAGCUGGAAUUAAUGACCUUUUCCCUCUGAUUUACCACUAAAACUACAAGGGGGAACUUCAGAUACUUAAAAUCUUGUGUGAGAAGCAACAUGCAAGGUACCUUAAGUCACAAGUCACAGGUAAGUAACAGAUAUGCCGCAGCUGAACCUGUGAGAU